RNAcentral lists this ribosomal RNA (491 nucleotides) under uncultured crenarchaeote. RNAcentral's name for it is "bacterial SSU rRNA". It matches the Rfam family "Archaeal small subunit ribosomal RNA", at positions 327 to 820 of the family's 1478-position model. Lineage: Archaea; Thermoproteati; Thermoproteota. The record is from RNAcentral.
GGGGUGCAGCAGGCGCGAAACCUUAGCAAUGUGCGAAAGCACGACUGGGUCAGUCCGAGUGAUUCCUGAUAAAGGAGUCUUUUGCCUGUCCUAAAAGCACAGGUGAAUAAGGGGUGGGCAAGUCUGGUGUCAGCCGCCGCGGUAAUACCAGCACCUCGAGUGGUCAGGACGUUUAUUGGGCCUAAAGCAUCCGUAGCCGGCUCUGCAAGUCUUCGGUUAAAUCCACCUGCUCAACAGAUGGGCCGCUGGAGAUACUACAGAGCUAGGGAGUGGGAGAGGCAGACGGUAUUCAGUGGGUAGGGGUAAAAUCCUCUGAUCCAUUGAGGACCACCAGUGGCGAAGGCGGUCUGCCAGAACACGUUCGACGGUGAGGGAUGAAAGCUGGGGGAGCAAACCGGAUUAGAUACCCGGGUAGUCCCAGCUGUAAACGAUGCAAACUCGGUGAUGCAUUGGCUUAUGGCCAAUGCAGUGCCGCAGGGAAGCCGUUAAGU